CCUACGGGGGGCAGCAGUGAGGAAUAUUGGUCAAUGGCCGAGAGGCUGAACCAGCCAAGUCGCGUGAGGGAAGACGGCCCUACGGGUUGUAAACCUCUUUUGUCGGGGAGCAAAGCGAACCACGUGUGGUUCAUUGAGAUUACCCGACGAAAAAGCAUCGGCUAACCCCGUUCCAGCAGCCGCGGUAAUACGGAGGAUGCGCUCGUUAUCCGGAUUUAUUGGGUUUAAAGGGUGCGCAGGCGGAGGUGCAAGUCAGCGGUCAAAUUGCGGGGCUCAACCCCGUACUGCCGUUGAAACUGCAGCCCUUGAGGGCACGAGAAGUAUGCGGAAUGCGUGGUGUAGCGGUGAAAUGCAUAGAUAUCACGCAGAACACCGAUUGCGAAGGCAGCAUACCGGCGCGCAACUGACGCUCAUGCACGAAAGCGUGGGUAUCGAACAGGAUUAGAUACCCCAGUAGUC
This 459-nucleotide ribosomal RNA is filed under the name uncultured bacterium. RNAcentral describes it as "partial 16S ribosomal RNA". It matches the Rfam family "Bacterial small subunit ribosomal RNA", at positions 338 to 795 of the family's 1533-position model. The record is from RNAcentral.